RNAcentral lists this transfer RNA (86 nucleotides) under Trichonephila clavipes. RNAcentral describes it as "alanine transfer RNA". Lineage: Eukaryota; Metazoa; Arthropoda; Arachnida; Araneae; Nephilidae. The record is from RNAcentral.
UUAAUUCAUGCUGUUGUGUGAGUGUUAAGUUGUGCUUAUUUAAAGUAAAAGAGUUGGUGUCCGGGGGCGUAGCUCAGAUGGUAGAG